CUACGGGAUGCACCAGUGGGGAAUAUUCCACAAUGGGCGCAAGCCUGAUGCAGCCAUGCCGCGUGUAUGAAGAAGGCCUUCGGGUUGUAAAGUACUUUCAGCGGGGAGGAAGGGAGUAAAGUUAAUACCUUUGCUCAUUGACGUUACCCGCAGAAGAAGCACCGGCUAACUCCGUGCCAGCAGCCGCGGUAAUACGGAGGGUGCAAGCGUUAAUCGGAAUUACUGGGCGUAAAGCGCACGCAGGCGGUUUGUUAAGUCAGAUGUGAAAUCCCCGGGCUCAACCUGGGAACUGCAUCUGAUACUGGCAAGCUUGAGUCUCGUAGAGGGGGGUAGAAUUCCAGGUGUAGCGGUGAAAUGCGUAGAGAUCUGGAGGAAUACCGGUGGCGAAGGCGGCCCCCUGGACGAAGACUGACGCUCAGGUGCGAAAGCGUGGGGAGCAAACAGGAUUAGAUACCCGUGUAGUC
This 464-nucleotide ribosomal RNA is filed under the name uncultured bacterium. RNAcentral describes it as "partial 16S ribosomal RNA". It matches the Rfam family "Bacterial small subunit ribosomal RNA", at positions 339 to 795 of the family's 1533-position model. The record is from RNAcentral.